UACAGAGGUCUCAAGCGUUGUUCGGAUUCAUUGGGCGUAAAGGGUGCGUAGGUGGCGCCAUAAGUCAGGUGUGAAAUCUCGGGGCUUAACUCCGAAACUGCAUUUGAUACUGUGGUGCUCGAGGACUGGAGAGGAGACUGGAAUUUACGGUGUAGCAGUGAAAUGCGUAGAGAUGUGGAGGAACACCGAUGGCGAAGGCAGCCUCCUGGGCCAGCACUGACGCUCAUGCACGAAAGCGUGGGGAGCAAACAGG
RNAcentral lists this ribosomal RNA (253 nucleotides) under uncultured prokaryote. RNAcentral describes it as "partial 16S ribosomal RNA". It matches the Rfam family "Bacterial small subunit ribosomal RNA", at positions 524 to 776 of the family's 1533-position model. The record is from RNAcentral.